Molecule: ribosomal RNA, 493 nt
Filed under: uncultured bacterium
Lineage: Bacteria
Description: partial 16S ribosomal RNA
Rfam family: Bacterial small subunit ribosomal RNA
Source: RNAcentral
GACGAACGCUGGCGGCGUGCUUAACACAUGCAAGUCGAACGGUGAAGGGACCGGUUUUUGCUGGUUCUGGAUGAGUGGCGAACGGGUGAGUAACACGUGAGUAACCUGCCCCCUUCUUCUGGAUAACCGCAUGAAAGUGUGGCUAAUACGGGAUAUUCUGCGCCUGCUGCAUGGUGGGUGUGGGAAAGAUAUUGUUUCGGUGGGGGAUGGGCUCGCGGCCUAUCAGCUUGUUGGUGGGGUGAUGGCCUACCAAGGCGGUGACGGGUAGCCGGCCUGAGAGGGUGGACGGUCACACUGGGACUGAGACACGGCCCAGACUCCUACGGGAGGCACCAGUGGGGAAUAUUGCACAAUGGGCGCAAGCCUGAUGCAGCGACGCCGCGUGAGGGAUGGAGGCCUUCGGGUUGUAAACCUCUUUCGCCAGUGAAGCAGGCCUGUCCCUUUUGUGGGUGGGUUGACGGUAGCUGGAUAAGAAGCGCCGGCUAACUACGUG